Molecule: ribosomal RNA, 79 nt
Filed under: Candidatus Limousia pullorum
Lineage: Bacteria; Bacillati; Bacillota; Clostridia; Eubacteriales; Oscillospiraceae
Description: partial 23S ribosomal RNA
Rfam family: Bacterial large subunit ribosomal RNA
Source: RNAcentral
UACGAGGUUGAUAGGCUGCGUGUGUAAGUGCCGUGAGGCAUUCAGCUUGGCAGUACUAAUAGGUCGAGGGCUUGACCAU